RNAcentral lists this non-coding RNA (130 nucleotides) under Eucalyptus grandis. RNAcentral's name for it is "Bacterial small subunit ribosomal RNA". It matches the Rfam family "Bacterial small subunit ribosomal RNA", at positions 403 to 535 of the family's 1533-position model. Lineage: Eukaryota; Viridiplantae; Streptophyta; Magnoliopsida; Myrtales; Myrtaceae. The record is from Rfam by way of RNAcentral.
CACCAUAGGAGUAGUAUUCCCUAAAGGUGUAGUCCCGGAGUGGAACGCCUUUGUUGAACAGCAAUGACGGUAUCUGGGGAAUAAGCAUUGGUUAACUCUGUGCCAGCAGCCGCGGUAAUACAGAGGAUGU